RNAcentral lists this unclassified non-coding RNA (1319 nucleotides) under Hevea brasiliensis (rubber tree). The record is from RNAcentral. Lineage: Eukaryota; Viridiplantae; Streptophyta; Magnoliopsida; Malpighiales; Euphorbiaceae.
GGAAAAGAAGCUUGUUGCCCCAAUCCGAAUCUGAAUCGGACAAUCUUCUGAAGUCCCACGUUAUCCUACCAGCCACGAGAAAAUGAUCCUUCCCCCCCAUGAUGUUCCACUCUGGCCUCUUUUGAAGCCAAUCAACCAAAUCAAGAGAAGCAGCAUCCCUCGUAGUUACAUUAUAACCCCAAAGAUACCUUGCAAUGUCAAACCCUGCAUAAAACGGCACAAAAAUAGCAGCAGCCAGAGAGGAAUCAUUUGUGAGGCACUCGUACUGUUUCACCCGAUUGCCAAAAAUGACAUCCACGGCAAACUGAUUAGUCGCAUACCAUCCAGUAUUCGAGAACACUCCCUCAGCAUUCUCCAUUUGCGGCCCAAGCCCAGCAUUAGCAGUAAACUUACAAAAAUUAGUCCAAGGACUAAGAGUUCUACAUUCCUUAAGCAUAUCUUCAUUGAACCUUGGAGGAAGAUCAUGCACAUAAAUAUACCUUCCACCACAUGGAUCACUUUUAUUCUCUACCGUUCUCAACGCUCUCAUAAACGAGUAACUCUCGGUAUCUCUCCGGGAGCUAUUAUCGCUACUCACCGGCCUAACCACCAAAGGUGUUGGUUGCACAUUCUUUUUGAGCGGUUUGGACUUCACUACUAACUCAUUGUUAUCCAUUUCAACUUUAGCAUUACGUAUAGUAGCACGAUUCAUGGGAUUUGGAUUUGAUUGUUUAUUGAGGGAAAGUGGAUCCAAAUUAGGUGAAUCAUGAACAUGAUUACCCCCAAGAAUCACAAAAUGAAAAUACAAUAGUAAAAACCAAAACAAACCUGACAAUGAAGCUAACAAGCAAACCCUAGGUUGAUGAUUUUUGCCUUGCCCUUUCUCCAUUGAAUCAUCAAACGAUUGGGACGUCGGAGAACGGCGCCUCAUCAGAUUAUAACCAUACCAACAUAAAUAAACCACCAAAAAUCUCUAAAGAUACAAUCUUUAUGACAAACCCCAAAAUCUCAAGAAUCAAUGAAAAUAUUGCGAAUUUCAACACAACCCUAAAACCCAAGUCUUUAAUAAAGCUCAAAAAUAGGUGUAUUAAUUUUCCAAGAAAAGAAAAAGGGGUUCGUCAUAAACUAUUAUAGAACCAAAAAAGAGUGAAAUGCGGAGGAUUUAGCACGUCAUGAAAUGGAGAAAAUCAAGACCAUAAACGAAGAAACAGAGAGAAAUUUAAGCUAAAAGAAGGUUCCAGCAAAGUUUAACAGCACAUUAGCAGGUGGAAAGAGAUUGAUGAAGAACAAUUUAUAGGUAACAAAAAAACCAUUUUUGUGGGUAUUAACCAACUGUUAUA